CCUCCCAUUCCAGAUUGGAAUCCAAUCGACGUUUUUGUACUUUUGGCAAACAGUUUCGUAGCUAGAAUUAUGGCAAAACUGAAACUGAUAAGUUUGGUAUAGUCAGCCCUUACAGUCAUACUGUCAGUUUGGUGAUGAGGUCAGAGACACAGAGAGGACGUGAUGAGGCAUGAUCAUGGUUAUUCACUGGUUGAAGUGCAGUAUUUAUCAUGGCCAAAAGGUUCCUUCAUGAGAAGAUGUUUUUAUCAAGCUCAACUUGGAUUGUCAUAUUUGAGACAGCUUUGCAUCACUCCUUCCUUUUCUAAGGUUUUUUACUGGUUGAAGGGCGGCAUCUAUCAUGGACAAAAGCUUCCUUCAUGAGAAGAUGUUUCUAUCAAGCUCAACUUGGAUUGUCAUAUUUGAGACAGCUUUGCAUCACUCCUUCCUUUUCUAAGCUAUGUUAAAACAUGUUAUUCACUGGUUGAAGAGUAGUAUUUAUCAUGGACAAAAGCUUCCUUCAUGAGAAGAUCUUUUUAUCAAGCUCAACUUGGAUGUCAUAUCUGAGACAGCUUUGCAGCACUCCUUCCUUUUCUAAGGAUUUACACACAAAAUCAAUUGUCUGCCUCUACUAAAUGGUGAGCCAGCACCACAGAUGACUCGGACGCCAAUUAUAGCUCCCUAUUUGUUUGAUGUCAACCAAGUAUCUAGUCUGGAGGCCCAUCUCUGCAGUGAGGGCAACAAAGUUGGACUGUUAUGCAAUAACAUUUGGUGCAAGGACCAUGGGUACAAUCUGCUUGAGCCAUCAUGGAGCUGACGUUUGAGAACUGAAGAUGUCGCCCAUGUUUUCAGUCUUAAGGGCCAUCUCUGCAGUAAGGGCAACCAAGUUUGACUGUUAUGCGAGAACAAUUGGCGCAAGGACCACGGGACCAAUCUUCUUGCACUUUCAUGGAGCUGACAUUAGAGAACUGAGAAGACCACGGAUCAAUGGAGUCAUCUUGUACAGAUUCUCCUAAUGAAAAGACUGCUUUCACUUCAUCAACAAAUUCUUUAGUCAAACUACCACUUCCCUCCUGAUGGACCAUGGGUACAAUCUUCUUGCACUUUCAUGGAGCUGACAUUAGAGAACUGAGAAGACCACGGAUCAAUGGAGUCAUCUUGUACAGAUUCUUCUAAUGAAAAGACUGCUUUCACUUCAUCAACAAAUUCUUCAGUCAAACUACCACUUUCCUCCUUAUGGACCAUGGGUACAAUCUUUAUGCGCUAUCAUGGAGCUGACAUUAGAGAACUGAGAAGACCACGGAUCAAUGGAGUCAUCUUGUACGAAUUCUUGUAAUGAAAAGACUGCUUUCAGAUUAAACUACAACUUCCCUCCUCAUGGACCAUGGGUACAAUCUUUAUGCGCCAUCAUGGAGCUGACAUUAGAGAACUGAGAAGACCACGGAUCAAUGGAGUCAUCUUGUACGAAUUCUUGUAAUGAAAAGACUGCUUUCACAUUAAACUACAACUUCCCUCCUCAUGGUAAUCUUCAACUUCCCCUCAAAUUUAUGUCUAAUGACCACUUCGCUCCCUAUGUCUAAAUCACUUCUCUCCAUACAUCUAACUACCACUUCCCUCCAUACAUCUAACAUUCACUUCCCUCCAUACGUCUGACAACUUCUCUCCUUACGUCUUAUUCACUUUUCUUCAUACGUCUGACAACUUCUCUUCAUACGUCUGACAACUUCUCUCCUUACGUCUGACAACUUCUCUCCUUACGUCUGGCAACUUCUCUCCAUACGUCUAAGAACUUCUCUUCUAACGUCUAAUUCACUUCUCUUCAUUUGUCUAACAACUUCUCUACUUACGUCUGGCAACUUCUCUCCAUACGUCUAACAACUUCUCUUCUUACGUCUAUUCACUUCUCUUCAUACGUCUAACAACUUCUCUUCAUACGUCUAACAACUUCUCUCCUUACGUCUAAUUCACUUCUCUUCAAACGUCUGACAACUUCUCUCCAUACGUCUAUCAACUUCUCUUCAUACGUCUAACAACUUCUCUCCUUACGUCUGACAACUUCUCUCCAUACGUCUAAGAACUUCUCUUCUAACGUCUAAGUCACUUCUCUUCAUACGUCUAACAACUUCUCUACUUACGUCUGGCAAC
This is a long non-coding RNA of Asterias rubens (European starfish), 2121 nucleotides long. RefSeq lists it as uncharacterized. The record is from RefSeq and is a predicted model, not a curated record. The transcript has 11 exons. Lineage: Eukaryota; Metazoa; Echinodermata; Asteroidea; Forcipulatida; Asteriidae.